UCGCUAAAAACAACUUUUGACUCUCAACUGACUCAUUUAUUGGGUUUUACUUGAUUCUAAGCUCAUUCUAAGUCUUAAAGGGUGUAAAUUGGUCUAAAAUGACAUAUGAAAAUAAUUGUUUUUCAACCGUUAUUAGCAGCCAGAAGAUUGUACCUUGCCCAAGUAGGUCUCAAACUUCAGAAACCAUAAGGCCACACAAAAAGAACACAAUUUCUACCACACAAUCAUAGAGACAAAACAACAUGAAAACGAAAAAAAAAAAACAAAGCAAGCAUCAUUCAAGUACAAUUUCUUCUCCACGAAAAUUCAAUUUUGAAAAAAAAAAUACCUUGAAAGCAAAAAACACGAUGAUGCCAACCUCUGCAGGCCACGACCACGAUGACCCACCACCAUUGCCAUAAUCGCCGACUACCACGACCCACCACCCUGCCGGAAACACCACUUCAC
RNAcentral lists this long non-coding RNA (447 nucleotides) under Vigna radiata. RNAcentral describes it as "long non-coding RNA (VRAD_LNC012941)". The record is from RNAcentral. Lineage: Eukaryota; Viridiplantae; Streptophyta; Magnoliopsida; Fabales; Fabaceae.